CCUACGGGUGGCAGCAGUGAGGAAUAUUGGUCAAUGGGCGUAAGCCUGAACCAGCCAAGUCGCGUGAAGGAUGAUGGCCCUAUGGCUUGUAAACUGCUUUUAUAAGGGAAUAAAGUGCCUAACGUGUACCGCUUUGUAUGUACCUUAUGAAUAAGGACCGGCUAAUUCCGUGCCAGCAGCCGCGGUAAUACGGAGGGUCCGGGCGUUUUCCGGAUUUAUUGGGUUUAAAGGGUGGGUAGGCGGCAUGUUAAGCCGGCGGUGAAAGCCCCGGGCUCAAGCGGUGAAUUGCCGUGGAAACUGGGGUGCUUGAGUCUGGAGGAGGCAGGAGGAAUGCGUGGUGUAGCGGUGAAAUGCUUAGAUAUCACGCAGAACCCCGAUUGCGAAGGCAGCUUGCGAAGCCGUGACUGACGCUGAUGCACGAAAGCGUGGGUAUCAAACAGGAUUAGAUACCCCAGUAGUC
This 460-nucleotide ribosomal RNA is filed under the name uncultured bacterium. RNAcentral's name for it is "partial 16S ribosomal RNA". It matches the Rfam family "Bacterial small subunit ribosomal RNA", at positions 338 to 795 of the family's 1533-position model. The record is from RNAcentral.